RNAcentral lists this ribosomal RNA (436 nucleotides) under uncultured bacterium. RNAcentral's name for it is "partial 16S ribosomal RNA". It matches the Rfam family "Bacterial small subunit ribosomal RNA", at positions 29 to 506 of the family's 1533-position model. The record is from RNAcentral.
AGCGAACGCUGGCGGCAGGCUUAACACAUGCAAGUCGAGCGGGCAUCCUUGGGGUGUCAGCGGCAGACGGGUGAGUAACGCGUGGGAACGUGCCCUUCGGUUCGGAAUAACCCAGGGAAACUUGAGCUAAUACCGGAUACGUGCGAGAGCAGAAAGGUUUACCUGCCGAAGGAUCGGCCCGCGUCUGUUUAGCUAGUUGGUGAGGUUAUGGAUCACCAAGGCGACGAGCAGUAGUUGGUCUGAGAGGAUGAUCAGCCACACUGGGACUGGGACACGGCCCAGACUCCUACGGGAGGCAGCAGUGGGGAAUAUUGGACAAUGGGGGCGACCCUGAUCCAGCCAUGCCGCGUGAGUGAUGACGGGCUUAGGGUUGUAAAGCUCUUUUCUUCGGGACGAUAAUGACGGUACCGGAGGAAUAAACCCCGGCAAACUUCGU